CGUUCCCAGGCCUUGUACACACCGCCCGUCACAUCAUGAAAGCCGCUUGUACCCGAAGUCGCCCCUCAAAAGGCGCCGAAGGUAUGGGUGGUGAUUGGGAUG
RNAcentral lists this ribosomal RNA (102 nucleotides) under uncultured bacterium. Its description in RNAcentral is "partial 16S ribosomal RNA". It matches the Rfam family "Bacterial small subunit ribosomal RNA", at positions 1369 to 1482 of the family's 1533-position model. The record is from RNAcentral.